Molecule: long non-coding RNA, 513 nt
Filed under: Setaria viridis
Lineage: Eukaryota; Viridiplantae; Streptophyta; Magnoliopsida; Poales; Poaceae
Description: long non-coding RNA (SVIR_LNC008750)
Source: RNAcentral
CUAGCCGAUGCAUCGGCUCUCAGUAGUAACGUGCUGAUGUCAAGGGCCCUACGGCUAGCAGUACGAGGGGCAAAGGUAAAGAUCUAUCGGACCUAGUAUAUAUAAAGCAAGUAAAAUAUGCAAGAUCUAACCAGCCAAUACGAUCAGAUAACUGGUGAAUGUUUAAAUAAGGUUAAAGAGCCGAUGACAACCUAACCGGAUCUAAGCCGUUCGAUAACUGUGAACGCUUGAUAGAACUAAGAGAUCGAUACAAUGUAACUUAAUAAAACCAAACAACUCAAUAACUGUGAGCAACCGUCGAAGUAGAAUAUUGGACAAAACCUAGAAAGUUCUACUUGCAAUCUAAGAUAACUCAAUAACUAGCCACACAACCGAAUAUCAAAGUAUAAGACUUAACUUAGAAAAUUCUGAUAGAGAUUGUAAUGACUAGGUGACGAUACUUACAAGCUCGCCUGAGAUUGAAACCGAUGCAGCCGUGCAAGCAAGAAGGAACUCGUCGAAACUACUCUACUC